CCGUAGCCAUUUUGGCUCAAGGUAAACGCUUGGCCCGGGCGUUUGCUUUGGCCAUCGC
Molecule: unclassified non-coding RNA, 58 nt
Filed under: Pfiesteria piscicida
Lineage: Eukaryota; Dinophyceae; Peridiniales; Pfiesteriaceae
Description: trans-spliced leader sequence SL-C1-2
Source: RNAcentral